Molecule: long non-coding RNA, 252 nt
Organism: Humulus lupulus (European hop)
Lineage: Eukaryota; Viridiplantae; Streptophyta; Magnoliopsida; Rosales; Cannabaceae
Exons: 2
Source: RefSeq, a predicted model, not a curated record
GUGAAAUUCUUAGCUUGGACCUGAGGUAGCAAAUAGGAUUUCUCUAUGGCACGCGUGGUGACGUGAGGAGUUCUUCAUCAUGGGGUGUAUGGCGUGGGGCAAUCCUAUGGACGAUAAAACGAUCAACGUAGAACGCCAUUUAAAUUAUGUUUUGUUUUAAGGGACUUUUUCCUAAAUUAUCAGUGGGACUCUGUUAUUUAACUUAAUUGGUUUUCUUUGAACUUUGCAUAAAAACCUAUGUUUUAUUUUAAA